RNAcentral lists this unclassified non-coding RNA (485 nucleotides) under Hevea brasiliensis (rubber tree). The record is from RNAcentral. Lineage: Eukaryota; Viridiplantae; Streptophyta; Magnoliopsida; Malpighiales; Euphorbiaceae.
AUUUAUAUUAACCGAAACAAAGAUAAAUCAUAUAACGUGCGUAUUCUUUUUGUUAUCACUAGUUCAAUCCAAAAUUAAUUUCAAUUGAAUCAACAAAAACUCAUCCUAAAUCCAUAUCUCCAUUUUAUUGCCACACAAAAUCAUGAAAUAAGCUUAAAGGUCAUGUACUCAUUUUGAAGUAGUAACACGUUGAAUGUAAACUUGAUAAUGGGCAAGCAAUUCAUCUCUAGGAGGUAAAUAUUUCUUGUUUUGCGUACAAUAUUCGUCUCUCCAAUCACAAAAAUUUGGAUAUUUUUCUCUUGUCACCAAAACAACUCCAGAUGCUUCUUCAAGAACUCCUAGCCAAAGGGCUGCAGCAUUUGCAACAAUAUCAACAAAUCCAAAUUUUUCACCAACAAAAAUCUUCUUGUUUUUCAGCUCAUUAUCAAGAACUUUCAACAUAUCAUAAACUUCCUCUUUAGCUUUCUCUUGCUCCUCUCCUUUGA